Molecule: ribosomal RNA, 639 nt
Filed under: uncultured bacterium
Lineage: Bacteria
Description: bacterial SSU rRNA
Rfam family: Bacterial small subunit ribosomal RNA (bases 1-541)
Source: RNAcentral
CCUACGGGAGGCAGCAGUAAGGAAUAUUGGUCAAUGGACGCAAGUCUGAACCAGCCAUGCCGCGUGAAGGAUUAAGGCCCUCUGGGUUGUAAACUUCUUUUAUAGGGGACGAAAAAAGGGCAUUCUUGCUCACUUGACGGUACCCUAGGAAUAAGCACCGGCUAACUCCGUGCCAGCAGCCGCGGUAAUACGGAGGGUGCAAGCGUUAUCCGGAUUUACUGGGUUUAAAGGGUGCGUAGGUGGGUUGGUAAGUCAGUGGUGAAAUCUUCGAGCUUAACUCGGAAACUGCCAUUGAUACUAUCAAUCUUGAAUCAUCUAGAGGUAAGCGGAAUAUGUCAUGUAGCGGUGAAAUGCUUAGAUAUGACAUAGAACACCAAUUGCGAAGGCAGCUUACUAUGGAUGCAUUGACACUGAGGCACGAAAGCGUGGGGAUCAAACAGGAUUAGAUACCCUGGUAGUCCCACGACCUAACCGACUAGAGUACUACGACAUUGUUGUAUAUACUAAUAAGUAGUNUGAGCGAAGACAUUAAGUUAAUACCUACCUACGGAAGGUACGACCGACGACGGUUAGUAACGUACGAAAGAAGUUAGUACGGACGUAGAGACGUAGACCGACGGACGACGACGAGGGAGGAGG